Molecule: ribosomal RNA, 1243 nt
Filed under: Candidatus Saccharimonadota bacterium
Lineage: Bacteria; Candidatus Saccharimonadota
Description: partial 23S ribosomal RNA
Rfam family: Bacterial large subunit ribosomal RNA
Source: RNAcentral
UAAUGCGUAGCAUAGGUGGCAGAGGUUGAAGCGAUGAUCUUGGUUGUCGUGGACUCGAAAUAUGAAAUACCACUCUUUAAUUGGGCAGUUCCUAACCCGCGGAAUAAAAAUCCCGUGGAGACAGUGCGUGGCAGGCAGUUUUAGUGGGGCGCUACCCUCCCAAAAAGUAACGGAGGGGUCUCAAGGUUGGUUAGGUGCGAAUGGAAACCGUAUCGAUAGUGUAAUGGCAUAAACCAGCUUGACUGUGAGGUGUAGAUACCAAACAGACGCGAAAGCGGAGCAUAGUGAACCGAUGGUACGCGUUAGAUGCGGCCGGAGAUUACCCGAUAAAAGUAACCCUGGGGAUAACAGGCUAGUCGUGCCCAAGCGUCCAUAGCGACGGCACGGUUCGGCACCUCGAUGUCGGCUCGACUUAUCCUGGGGCUGGAGCAGGUCCCAAGGGUUUGGCUGUUCGCCAAUUAAAAAGUCACGUGAGCUGGGUUUAGACCGUACAGGUUCUGAUAUACGUAAUUUAAUUAUUUGUAUUUGAAUCGGUACUUGUACAGUCUAAACCCCAUUGAGUAUUCGUUUAUUGAACCAAGAAAAGAACCAACCAAACACGGCGGCGUGUUGUAGAAAUACAGCAUGAGAAGUCAACUAAUAUCGGUGAAACCCUACUUAUAAUAAAUAAGGGGCAAUACCGAGGGAAGGUCGUUGUGAAUUUCAAAGAGGAAGCGUAAUAUGUUGUGGUCAAGUGAUAGGUCUGGUCUCAAUAUCGUAAAGAUAUGAGCUGGUUAGAAGUUCGAUUCUUCACCCAUAACGUCCUCUCGGGAUGUAGAAAUACAUCCUGUCCCCUUUGAAAUUCAUAAUUUCCACCCGUAGAGACUACACGUUGAAUUCGUACGUACUCAAGUUUUGAGUGCACGAAAAGCUAUAGUCCGAUCCUCAUAGUAAUGUGAGUAAACAAAAUGCGUGAGACAGGUUGGUCUCCUAUCUACUGCAGGCGUCGAUUCUUGAGGAGAGUUGUUCCUAGUACGAGAGGACCGGAAUGAACGAACCUCUGGUCUAUCGGCUGUCACGCCAGUGGCACCGCCGAGUAGCUAUGUUCGGAAUGGAUAACCGCUGAAAGCAUCUAAGCGGGAAGCCAACUCCAAGAUUAGGAAUCAUUAAGUCCCCUGAGAGAUGAUCAGGUUGAUAGGCACUAGGUGGAAGUACAGCAAUGUAUGGAGCCGAGGUGUACUAAUAGGACGUAUUUCCUGUAAGG